GACGAACGCUGGCGGCGUGCUUAACACAUGCAAGUCGAACGGAAAGGCCCUGCUUUUGUGGGGUGCUCGAGUGUCGAACGGGUGAGUAACACGUGAGUAACCUGCCCUUGACUUUGGGAUAACUUCAGGAAACUGGGGCUAAUACCGGAUAGGAGCUCCUGCUGCAUGGUGGGGGUUGUAAAGUUUCGGCGGUUGGGGAUGGACUCGCGGCUUAUCAGCUUGUUGGUGGGGUAGUGGCUUACCAAGGCUUUGACGGGUAGCCGGCCUGAGAGGGUGACCGGCCACAUUGGGACUGAGAUACGGCCCAGACUCCUACGGGAGGCAGGAGUGGGGAAUAUUGCACAAUGGGCGGAAGCCUGAUGCAGCAACGCCGCGUGCGGGAUGACGGCCUGCGGGUUGUAAACCGCUGUCGCCUGUGACGAAGCGUGAGUGACGGUAAUGGGUAAAGAAGCACCGGCUAACUACGUG
RNAcentral lists this ribosomal RNA (468 nucleotides) under uncultured bacterium. RNAcentral's name for it is "partial 16S ribosomal RNA". It matches the Rfam family "Bacterial small subunit ribosomal RNA", at positions 28 to 507 of the family's 1533-position model. The record is from RNAcentral.